GUAGUAACUUAACUAGAAAAUUCUACUCCACUAAGCAUUAACCUAACACAAGAGUAUUUAAGGAAAGAUUAAACCAGGGAGAAGGAACUCGGCAAAUCUUAGUCUCGCCUGUUUACCAAAAACAUCGCCUCUUGACCACUAUAAGAGGUCCAGCCUGCCCAGUGACCAGUUUAACGGCCGCGGUACCCUAACCGUGCGAAGGUAGCAUAAUCACUUGUUUCUUAAAUAGAGACUAGUAUCAACGGCACCACGAAGACUAUACUGUCUCCUCCCUAAAAUCAAUGAAACUGAUCUCCUCGUGAAGAAGCGAGGAUAUACAUAUAAGACGAGAAGACCCCAUGGAGCUUUAAACGAACUUCAAUUGUUCCUACCCAUAACAUACAAAUUGAACACUCCCUGGUAGAUAGUUUUAGGUUGGGGUGACCGCGGAGUAAAACAAAACCUCCACAAUGAAUGUAAUAAAAUUCUUAUAAAAGAACUACAGUUCUAAUAAUCAAAAAUUUGACAUAGUUGACCCAAACACUUGAUCAAUGAACCAAGUUACCCUGGGGAUAACAGCGCAAUCCAUUUUAAGAGCCCAUAUCGACAAAUGGGUUUACGACCUCGAUGUUG
This 612-nucleotide ribosomal RNA is filed under the name Leptopelis vannutellii (Dime forest treefrog). RNAcentral's name for it is "partial large subunit ribosomal RNA". It matches the Rfam family "Bacterial large subunit ribosomal RNA", at positions 1597 to 2534 of the family's 2925-position model. The record is from RNAcentral. Lineage: Eukaryota; Metazoa; Chordata; Amphibia; Anura; Arthroleptidae.